GUUUAAAUCUGUUGUAGGAAUUAUUAGGGUUUGGGUUGGGAUUUAGGAUUUGGUUAGGAUUUAGGAUUUGGUUUAGGAUUUAGGAUUUGAAUUAGAGUUUGGUUUAGGAUUUAGGAUUUGAAUUAGGAUUUGGUUAGGAUUUGAUUUAGGAUUUGGUUAGGAUUUGGUUUAGGAUUUGGUUGGGGUUUGAUUUAAGGUUUGUUUAGGGUUUGAUUUAGGGUUUAGGAUUUUAUUAGGAUUUAAGAUUAAAUUAGUUUUGGCCUAAAGUUUGAAUGAAGUUCAAUAGGAUUUUAACUAGAAUUAAAUUAAGAUUGAAUUGAGAUGUAUUUGAGUGAUAUUUGUGAUCCUUCUAAUAUUUUUUUAAGAAUUCUUAUUGUUUGUUUGAAAUUUCUUUGAGAUUUCUUUGAGAUUUCUUUGAAUUUGAUUAAGCUUGCUUACCAUUAUUAUGGUCUAAUUAGAGUAUUGUUAGAAUUCUAUUAUAAUUAGAAUUUUGUUAUUGUAAUUUUCAUUCUUCCUUUCACAGCCAAGUGCCCGGAGCAUUCUCAAGGAAGACUUCAUGUAUAAUGACAAUGCUCUCUUGAUUUGUACCUUUAAUAGAAAAAGAUUUGUGACUCUUUUAUGAUUUGAAUUCAUUCUUAAAAG
Molecule: long non-coding RNA, 642 nt
Filed under: Physcomitrium patens
Lineage: Eukaryota; Viridiplantae; Streptophyta; Bryopsida; Funariales; Funariaceae
Description: long non-coding RNA (PPAT_LNC012044)
Source: RNAcentral